UUUAGCUUACGCUGUGUAAAAUGCAGUUUUGGGUUACAGGUGCUGGGAGACUCAGCUGGCAGAAUUGUGGAACCUGGCUCUACUAAGGCACGGAACUUGGAAGGAACUGCCUCAUGGAUCAACUUUCACAGAUAUCCUCUACAACUGAUGAGCAACCUAAGUCUCUAUGUUGCCAGAGGCCCCAAACUCAUCUGCAAACCUAACAAAUGUCAAAACAGCUAGAAAAAAAUGAC
Molecule: long non-coding RNA, 233 nt
Organism: Fukomys damarensis (Damara mole-rat)
Lineage: Eukaryota; Metazoa; Chordata; Mammalia; Rodentia; Bathyergidae
Exons: 3
Source: RefSeq, a predicted model, not a curated record